UACGGAAGGCAGCAGUGGGGAAUAUUGCACAAUGGGCGCAAGCCUGAUGCAGCCAUGCCGCGUGUAUGAAGAAGGCCUUCGGGUUGUAAAGUACUUUCAGUCGUGAGGAAGGUGUUAAGGUUAAUAACCUUAGCAAUUGACGUUAGCGACAGAAGAAGCACCGGCUAACUCCGUGCCAGCAGCCGCGGUAAUACGGAGGGUGCGAGCGUUAAUCGGAAUUACUGGGCGUAAAGGGCACGCAGGCGGUUAAUUAAGUUGGAUGUGAAAUCCCCGGGCUUAACCUGGGAAUGGCAUUCAAGACUGGUUAGCUAGAGUCUUGUAGAGGGGGUAGAAUUCCAUGUGUAGCGGUGAAAUGCGUAGAGAUGUGGAGGAAUACCGGGUGGCGAAGGCGGCCCCUGGGACAAGACUGACGCUCAUGUGCGAAAGCGUGGGGAGCGAAACAGGGAUUAGAUACC
Molecule: ribosomal RNA, 455 nt
Filed under: uncultured bacterium
Lineage: Bacteria
Description: bacterial SSU rRNA
Rfam family: Bacterial small subunit ribosomal RNA
Source: RNAcentral